GAUGAACGCUGGCGGCGUGCCUAAUACAUGCAAGUCGAGCGAACAGACGAGGAGCUUGCUCCUCUGACGUUAGCGGCGGACGGGUGAGUAACACGUGGAUAACCUACCUAUAAGACUGGGAUAACUUCGGGAAACCGGAGCUAAUACCGGAUAAUAUAUUGAACCGCAUGGUUCAAUAGUGAAAGACGGUUUUGCUGUCACUUAUAGAUGGAUCCGCGCCGCAUUAGCUAGUUGGUAAGGUAACGGCUUACCAAGGCAACGAUGCGUAGCCGACCUGAGAGGGUGAUCGGCCACACUGGAACUGAGACACGGUCCAGACUCCGACGGGAGGCAGCAGUAGGGAAUCUUCCGCAAAGGGCGAAAGCCUGACGUAGCAACGCCGCGUGAGUGAUGAAGGUCUUCGGAUCGUAAAACUCUGUUAUUAGGGAAGAACAAAUGUGUAAGUAACUAUGCACGUCUUGACGGUACCUAAUCAGAAGGCCACGGCUAGCUACGUG
This 497-nucleotide ribosomal RNA is filed under the name uncultured bacterium. RNAcentral's name for it is "partial 16S ribosomal RNA". It matches the Rfam family "Bacterial small subunit ribosomal RNA", at positions 28 to 507 of the family's 1533-position model. The record is from RNAcentral.